This 763-nucleotide long non-coding RNA is filed under the name Cricetulus griseus (Chinese hamster). RNAcentral's name for it is "lncRNA (ENSCGRG00015039818.1)". Lineage: Eukaryota; Metazoa; Chordata; Mammalia; Rodentia; Cricetidae. The record is from RNAcentral.
GAAGAAAAAGGAGGAGGCAGAGGAGAAGAAGGAGAAGGAGAAGAAGAAGAAAGAAGAAGAAGAAGAAGAAGAAGAAGAAGAAGAAGAAGAAGAAGAAGAAGAAGAAGAAGAAGAGCUCAAUAGCCAAAUGGCUCAGCAGGUGCUGUGUUCCUGAAAUAUCCAGCUGAGUGGCCCAAAGUGGCAAGAAGAAGAAGAAGAAGAAGAAGAAGAAGAAGAAGAAGAAGAAGAAGAAGAAGAAGAAGAAGAAGAAGAGCUCAAUAGCCAAAUGGCUCAGCAGCAAAGAAUUCUUCCAGCAAAGAAUGUUCUUGAGCCUGAAAUUAAGGUGGGAACCUCCCUUGACUCGCUGGUUGGGGCUCAACUUGCCCAAACAUAUUUCACAACUGGUUUCUGAACAGGAAGUGGCCCAGAUUUGCAAAUCACCAUGUAUACCAGCUGCACAGUCCUGCUGUGGGUUUUGUUUCUCUCAGGAAACAGAUGUGUCACCCAUCAGCACCAACCCCUUUCUUUUGUUCUCAAAGAUCAAAAGAGUACAGCUUCCUGGCCUCUCCUGCCCUGGCCAUAGGCUCAUGCCAUGCCAUCAUGGGCAGGGACCUCAGAUUAACACUCUGACCUCUGCAACCUUUGCUGAUCUCAAAAAAGCUACAAUAGUCAGAUUUGAUUCUGUGACUCCAGUGUUGAUUCAUUGGUUGUUUGGUGACCCUGCUACCCCUACUGAAGCCCUUCACUAGGAAGCAUGUGGCUUCCUCUUAUUUAUUUAAUUUAG